This 408-nucleotide ribosomal RNA is filed under the name uncultured bacterium. Its description in RNAcentral is "partial 16S ribosomal RNA". It matches the Rfam family "Bacterial small subunit ribosomal RNA", at positions 28 to 526 of the family's 1533-position model. The record is from RNAcentral.
GACGAACGCUGGCGGCGUGCUUAACACAUGCAAGUCGAACGAAGUGGCGAACGGGUGAGUAACGCGUAAUCAACCUGCCCUUCAGAGGGGGACAACAGUUUGAAACGACUGCUAAUACCGCAUACUGAAGGAGGGGAUUGCGUCUGAUUAGCUAGUUGGAGGGGUAAAGGCCCACCAAGGCGCUGAUCAGUAGCCGGACUGAGAGGAUGGACGGCCACAUUGGGACGCAGACACGGCCCAGACUCCUACGGGAGGAAGAAGUGGGGAAUAUUCCGCAAUGGACGAAAGUCUGACGGAGCAACGCCGCGUGAGUGAUGACGGCCUUCGGGUUGUAAAGCUCUGUUAAUCGGGACGCGGUACCGGAAUAGAAAGCCACGGCUAACUACGUGCCAGCAGCCGCGGUAAUUC